Molecule: transfer RNA, 62 nt
Filed under: Sphaerodactylus townsendi
Lineage: Eukaryota; Metazoa; Chordata; Lepidosauria; Squamata; Sphaerodactylidae
Description: tRNA-Ala
Source: RNAcentral
GGGCCUGUGGCUCAGUGAGAGAGCAUCUGCUUGGCAUGCGGAAGGUUCAAUCCCCAGAAUCU